UAAGGAAUAUUCCACAAUGGGCGAAAGCCUGAUGGAGCGACGCCGCGUGAGGGAAGACGCCCUUUGGGGUGUAAACCUCUUUUGUGGGGGAUGACAUGCUCUUUGUGAAAGCAAAGAGAUACGACAGUACCCCGCGAAUAAGCCUCGGCUAACUACGUGCCAGCAGCCGCGGUAAUACGUAGGAGGCGAGCGUUGUCCGGAUUUACUGGGCGUAAAGCGCGCGCAGGCGGCACAUCAAGUAAGGUGUGAAAUCUCCCUGCUCAACGGGGAGGGUGCACUUUAGACUGAUGAGCUAGAGGACGGUAGAGGGGGGUAGAAUUGCUGGUGUAGCGGUGAAAUGCGUAGAGAUCAGCAGGAAUACCCGUGGCGAAGGCGGCCCCCUGGGCCGAACCUGACGCUGAGGCGCGAAGGCUAGGGGAGCGAACGGGAUUAGAUACCCCCGUAGUCC
This 448-nucleotide ribosomal RNA is filed under the name uncultured bacterium. RNAcentral describes it as "bacterial SSU rRNA". It matches the Rfam family "Bacterial small subunit ribosomal RNA", at positions 355 to 796 of the family's 1533-position model. The record is from RNAcentral.